GAUGAACGCUGGUGGCGUGCCUAAUACAUGCAAGUAGAACGCUGAAGCUUGGUGCUUGCACCGAGCGGAUGAGUUGCGAACGGGUGAGUAACGCGUAGGUAACCUGCCUGGUAGCGGGGGAUAACUAUUGGAAACGAUAGCUAAUACCGCAUAACAGUAGAUAUUGCAUGAUAUCUGCUUGAAAGGUGCAAAUGCAUCACUACCAGAUGGACCUGCGUUGUAUUAGCUAGUUGGUGAGGUAACGGCUCACCAAGGCGACGAUACAUAGCCGACCUGAGAGGGUGAUCGGCCACACUGGGACUGAGACACGGCCCAGACUCCUACGGGAGGCAGCAGUAGGGAAUCUUCGGCAAUGGGGGGAACCCUGACCGAGCAACGCCGCGUGAGUGAAGAAGGUUUUCGGAUCGUAAAGCUCUGUUGUAAGAGAAGAACGAGUGUGAGAGUGGAAAGUUCACACUGUGACGGUAUCUUACCAGAAAGGGACGGCUAACUACGUG
This 497-nucleotide ribosomal RNA is filed under the name uncultured bacterium. RNAcentral describes it as "partial 16S ribosomal RNA". It matches the Rfam family "Bacterial small subunit ribosomal RNA", at positions 28 to 507 of the family's 1533-position model. The record is from RNAcentral.